UGGGGAAUUUUGGACAAUGGGCGCAAGCCUGAUCCAGCAAUGCCGCGUGCAGGAUGAAGGCCUUCGGGUUGUAAACUGCUUUUGUACGGAACGAAACGGCUCUGUCUAAUACAUGGGGCUAAUUACGGUACCGUAAGAAUAAGCACCGGCUAACUACGUGCCAGCAGCCGCGGUAAUACGUAGGGUGCAAGCGUUAAUCGGAAUUACUGGGCGUAAAGCGUGCGCAGGCGGUGAUGUAAGACAGGUGUGAAAUCCCCGGGCUUAACCUGGGAAUUGCAUUUGAGACUGCACGGCUAGAGUGUGUCAGAGGGGGGUAGAAUUCCACGUGUAGCAGUGAAAUGCGUAGAUAUGUGGAGGAAUACCGAUGGCGAAGGCAGCCCCCUGGGAUAACACUGACGCUCAUGCACGAAAGCGGGGGGAGCAAACA
This 427-nucleotide ribosomal RNA is filed under the name uncultured bacterium. RNAcentral describes it as "bacterial SSU rRNA". It matches the Rfam family "Bacterial small subunit ribosomal RNA", at positions 355 to 774 of the family's 1533-position model. The record is from RNAcentral.